This 111-nucleotide ribosomal RNA is filed under the name Klebsiella planticola. RNAcentral's name for it is "Raoultella planticola partial 23S ribosomal RNA". The stretch from base 1 to 98 matches the Rfam family "Bacterial large subunit ribosomal RNA", at positions 2828 to 2925 of the family's 2925-position model. Lineage: Bacteria; Pseudomonadati; Pseudomonadota; Gammaproteobacteria; Enterobacterales; Enterobacteriaceae. The record is from RNAcentral.
UGAAGGAACGUUGAAGACGACGACGUUGAUAGGUCGGGUGUGUAAGCGUAGCGAUACGUUGAGCUAACCGAUACUAAUGAACCGUGAGGCUUAACCUUACAACGCCGAAGC